Molecule: ribosomal RNA, 383 nt
Filed under: uncultured eukaryote
Lineage: Eukaryota
Description: partial 18S ribosomal RNA
Rfam family: Eukaryotic small subunit ribosomal RNA
Source: RNAcentral
CAAUAGCGUAUAUUAAAGUUGUUGCAGUUAAAAAGCUCGUAGUUGGAUUUCUGGUGGGAGCGAUCGGUCUGGCGCUUAGCGCGAGUACUUGCAUCGUCUCCGGCCAUCCUUGGGGAGAGUCUGCCUGGCAUUAGGUUGUCGGGCAGAGGAUCCUCAUCGUUUACUGUGAAAAAAUUAGAGUGUUCAAAGCAGGCUUAUGCCGUUGAAUAUAUUAGCAUGGAAUAAUAAGAUAGGACUUUGGUACUAUUUUGUUGGUUUGCGCACCAAAGUAAUGAUUAAUAGGGACAGUUGGGGGUAUUCGUAUUCCGUUGUCAGAGGUGAAAUUCUUGGAUUUACGGAAGACGAACUACUGCGAAAGCAUUUACCAAGGAUGUUUUCAUUAA